This 301-nucleotide ribosomal RNA is filed under the name uncultured bacterium. RNAcentral describes it as "partial 16S ribosomal RNA". It matches the Rfam family "Bacterial small subunit ribosomal RNA", at positions 509 to 807 of the family's 1533-position model. The record is from RNAcentral.
CAGCAGCCGCGGGAAUACGUAGGUGGCAAGCGUUGUCCGGAAUUAUUGGGCGUAAAGGGCUCGCAGGCGGCUUCUUAAGUCUGAUGUGAAAGCCCCCGGCUCAACCGGGGAGGGUCAUUGGAAACUGGGAAACUUGAGUGCAGAAGAGGAGAGUGGAAUUCCACGUGUAGCGGUGAAAUGCGUAGAGAUGUGGAGGAACACCGGUGGCGAAGGCGACUCUCUGGUCUGUAACUGACGCUGAGGAGCGAAAGCGUGGGGAGCGAACAGGAUUAGAUACCCGAGUAGUCCCUGUCUCUUAUAC